UCAAAAUAAAUAGAUUUUAGGUGGUUACUACUUUAAAAAUAUAUAUACAAAUAUUAUUACUGUGCUUUCUUGGAAACCCUAUCAGCUGCUGAAACCCAGUUCAUAUGAGUCAAACCCGGGCUGAUAAGUGUUCUUUGACUUAUCAAAACUGAGAAUGGCUUGCUGCUUUCAGUUGCCUCUCAAGCGUUUGAUUGUCAAGAAGUUUUACUUUGUUCAGCAAAAUGAAAAUAGUUCAGUUCUUGGGAAUUGUCCUAAUGUGUCUGUUCCUUAACUGCUUUGCCUCGCCUGGUACUCAACCAGAUUUGAGGCCAAUUCCUCGUUUAAUUUAUAGAUUAAAGUCUGGUGAUCAUAAACAGUUUAGAAAGCCUAUUCAAGCUGCUCGUAUUUUAUUGCAUAAAAUGAACCUGGCACAUCUUCAUUUAGAAUUAUUACGGGCAGCUAGCACACCCCAAGGAUUGCUCUUUGAAAUGAACACAAUUGAUCAGGUUGCAGAGAUCUUGGAGAGAUGGAAAUCAUUGGAUUCCUAUUCAACGGGAAGCUUUUAUAAGAAAUAUGAACUAACACAAACUAAACAGCGUUUUACUGAAUAAAAAAAACAUUUGAAAAAUUAUAAAUUGUUCAUUCAAUUCUUUACCUUAUCUAAGAAUAUUUUGUUAUUAAACCUUUUUAUAGAUUUUAGCUUUACAAUUUGUUUCAUUUCUCUCGAUGUAUCAUAUCUUAUCUCUAAAUAAAGGCCACCAAGUUUUCCAAUA
Drosophila kikkawai is the source of this 752-nucleotide long non-coding RNA. RefSeq lists it as uncharacterized. The record is from RefSeq and is a predicted model, not a curated record. NCBI's taxonomy places the organism in Eukaryota, Metazoa, Arthropoda, Insecta, Diptera, Drosophilidae.